Long non-coding RNA from Notothenia coriiceps (black rockcod), 272 nucleotides. RefSeq lists it as uncharacterized. The transcript has 2 exons. NCBI's taxonomy places the organism in Eukaryota, Metazoa, Chordata, Actinopteri, Perciformes, Nototheniidae. The record is from RefSeq and is a predicted model, not a curated record.
AGUUCAUGCUUAUUAUACCUGUGUCACCUUUCACACUAUAGCUGUGAUCAUGAGCUAUGGGCUUUGUAGAUACAGGUCCCGGGGUGAAUCGUGGUGCAGGGUCCCUUCUCUUUUUGACCACAGGGCGAUGCACGAAGAUGCACAAGAACCAGAGGGGGAUUCAAUGGAGCCUGAAUACCUGCAUUGAGACCCUCACCCUGCACCCUGAGUCUCAACUCUGUGUUUUUCAAGCCUUUCCCUGUUUUUUUGUAUUAAACAAAACAUUAAGCUUU